GUAGGGCAUGAGCUCUCGGGGCAAUUGAUCCUUUCAACUGGGUACAUUUGCUGAAACCUUAGUGGAGCCCUAGGAAAGGGUUGACCUGGCGACUCUAAACACCGGUCACUGGAGAAGAAAGCACUUCCCCUGUCCACUAGUCAUACUCAUUGAGAGUUUGGCAACACCAUCAGCUCGCGGGAACAUUCAGAGAUCAUCUGGACAAUCCGCUGUCGUUCAGUAUUGAAGCUCAAUACAAUGACGAUUCACA
This 250-nucleotide unclassified non-coding RNA is filed under the name plant metagenome. RNAcentral's name for it is "partial contains small subunit ribosomal RNA, internal transcribed spacer 1, and 5.8S ribosomal RNA". The record is from RNAcentral.